UGAGCUAAGCGGGCCCACAUCACAGAAAUCUUAUAUGCAUAGUAAUUGAC
This 50-nucleotide transfer RNA is filed under the name Markea sturmii. RNAcentral describes it as "partial tRNA-Thr". Lineage: Eukaryota; Viridiplantae; Streptophyta; Magnoliopsida; Solanales; Solanaceae. The record is from RNAcentral. RNAcentral also lists the same sequence under 1 other name.